GAACAGAACAAGCCUCUGAUAAUGAAGAAAAGAACUUGGAGUCAAGAUAUACUAUACACCUCAUCAGAAAACAGCAACGCAACAAAAGUGAAGUAACAGGCAAAUGAACCUUUAUUUACUAUGUGUUCCUUUGAUCUUCAGAGUGUGCCUCAGGUACCUAAUUCAAGUGAGUCUCUAUUUUAUUACUCAAGGAAAAUGUAAGUCUACAAUCUUACAAAUUAUGUUGAACAAGGUCAAGCACAGGGAAUAGAAAUAUAGAAAAUGGCUGUGUUCUAUUUUUUUUAAUAUCUACAUCCUGAUGUCUAAGAAACAUCAUCCAUCUUUUGAUACAUUUGAGGGACAAAAUCAACAAGCUGUAUUCCUGCUCUAUGCUGAACAAACUUUAACUACUCCAACAAGGCCACUCUCAUAUGGGAUGUGAUUAUAUACACACAACUAUUGACAUUCCAAAAAAUACAAAUAUGCUUUCACUAUGAAUAUUAGACUAUUUGAUGGCGGUAAAAGGACUAAAGUAACAAAUUAUCAUAUACUAAAGGUUUCCACUCCACAACUGUGUUGAAUACAGACAUUUGAAGAUACAAGUAGACGAAAUAUUGUUGUAAUGAGUAAUUAUACGUAUAUAAUAUAACGACUAAUUUGAUAAAAAUUUCGAGGGAAAUAGGAUUCAAAGAAAUCACAGAAAAUCCGACAGUCCAAACACUGCUAAGCCAAU
Molecule: long non-coding RNA, 712 nt
Organism: Pieris napi
Lineage: Eukaryota; Metazoa; Arthropoda; Insecta; Lepidoptera; Pieridae
Exons: 2
Source: RefSeq, a predicted model, not a curated record